CAGGGGACUCCGCGGUGCCGGCCGACCCGGAAGCAUGUCUGUCCCUAGCGGAGGCGCGGGUGCCGUGCUGAGAGCGCCUGCCUGUGCGCCCCGAGCGGGGCUGGGACUCUUCCAAGAUGCCCACGUUCGCACAGAGACCCCGGAUCGCGGAAGCUCGCGUCUCGAAAGGCCUGUGGGUCAAGGGGGGCCAUCUCGGUGGGAUCUGGGGCGGGACGACCCCCACUGCUGAACCCUGGGCGCGGGGCAGGGUCAGAGGCUCCGCUCGGCCUCCCCCUGGAUGAGACGCGCAUGCCCGGUGUCCCCCGGCCGCCGUCGGCGUCGUGUCUUCAGUCCUUAUCGACUCCAGACUUUGGGGAUGCGUAUUAACGCCAGACUCCUGCAAAGUCUUGCCUUCAACACUCAGCCCCUGGGGAGAGACGGGUGGAGGGAUGACUGGAAACGUGGCCUCGACGUCCCUACAGAGCCCCUCCAGCGUGGGGAGGCCUAAGUACCUCAAGGUUCAGGCCCACGGAAGGAGUCGGGGGAGCGAGGCCCGGUGAUCUACGUGUGAAGGAGCUUGGACAGGACCUCACAAACGCCAGGGAGACGGCGAGGGGGUUCGUGCGUUUGUAACGUCUUGACAUCGCUGAUCCUCCCGCAGGCGGUCUCACGCCCUGCCCGUCCUGGGUUCACGGUUUUUCAUCACCUGCGGCUGUCCUGCGAUCGACCACAGCUGUGCAGGAGGGGCAGGAGGUAUCUGUUGCUGCAGUUACCGGAACCUUUGCCAGGACUAGUACAGGACCACGGGUGAGGAUGGUGGGGAAGCCUGCGUGGGGCAGGGAACGGUGAGGCAGGAAGAGGGAAGGGCAGCAGAGGCCUGAGUGGUUGCAGGUUCACACACUGAGCUGCCAGUAACUGCCCAGCUCAGACGGGCUCAAAUUCAGAAGCCACCAUUGCUCCUCACCCCCACCCCCAGGUCAGCUGUCCACUAGCUCUGCCAUGACUUGAUACUGCAGCUCAAACAGUGCCAACCAAAACCCACUCUCCUCACCGCCUGUUAUGGGUAACACGGUAUGGUUACAGCUUUACUCAUGUCCUCUUUCCCCAGGCUGGUAGCUCAGGGAUGUCUCGUCUGUGAGUUACAGCUGCACGCUCUCCAGGAAAGAAGGAAUUUCCUCUUCUCUGGAAACCCCACCACACAGCUGGUUUCUCAUUGGUGCUGCUUGCCCAUUCCCUGAGCUGUGACUGCCAGAGGAGUGGGAGGUUGGUGGUGCCUCCAGCCCAUCAGGGGCAGGCCCUGGGACCGCCUGGGAACAGGAGGACUAUGGCACAAACCGAGUGAGUGAUGGGAGCAACCCGCAGGGCUCUGCCACAUCCCUGUCUUCCUUCACUGACAUGAAACGCAGAAAAGGCAGCUUUGCCACAACACAGGAGCACGCACCGAAUGUGGCCGCCCAGGGCUCUGUCCUUGACCCUGUUGUCCAGGACUGUUUACCAAGGGCUGACAGGCACUGAGUGCCCCGUGCACCUGGCCAGACACUGCACUCAUGCAGCGGAAAGGACAGUGAACGAGACUUUGUCCCUGGCCUCCAAAGGCUUAGGGCGUAGUGGCUGUCAUGAGGCACAGUGACAAGGGCCAGGAGGGGGACCUCUUAGGGGGCCAUGCAGUGAUGGAAGCCAGAAGGAAUGAAGGCCUGCAGUGAGGAUGGAGUGGUCGGCCUGAAGCCAUCUCUAGCAAGUGGUCAGGACGCUGAUUGUUCUGCGCAGGUUGGAGGUAGGUGGUGAGUCUGAGAAAGGGGCCGGAAAGACUCCCCAGCAACUGCUGGCAAAGGGUGAAGGGCACGUUCCCACAGGAUUCAAGCCAGCUGCCUUUGGAGGGGAGACGGGCACUCAGUUUAGGCGCUCCUACAGCAGGGUCAGCAAGACAAGCAGGUUGCGGCAAGGGUCUGCGCACUGCUGUGUAAAUGUAGGGGCAUCGGGGGGCAGAAAGACCAGGGGAGAAGUGUGCAUCACCCUUGGGGUUAAGGGACAGUUGUCUGCUAGGUGUUGCUUCCUGGAGAUGGCUGAAAAGCCAGUCCAGUCUGCAGGGACCAGGCCACCACCCACCUGAUGUGGGAGCAUUUCCCCCAAUCCCUGCUGGGCUGCUGAAUCUGGGGGACAUAGGGAAGCUGAGGCUGGUGUUCUGAGUAGUGGCAGAGCUGAGCCACAGGGCAUGUCUGAGGUCAGCCCCGAGCAAAAUGGAAUAGGGACUCAGGGUGGGUCAGGUAACUGGAAAGCGGGCACUGUGCACGCAGCCCUUGAGGGGAGCCAGGGUGGGUGGGGAUCCCCCACUGUGUGCAGAAGGCAGCAGCCUUGGAAGCAGGGUGUGCUCCUCGGUGUGGUCGCUCGAUACCAGAAAAUGACUCUAAAAACUGAAGAGUGUUUGAGUUUCAUUCACACAAAACAUGGACAUCAUCUGUGAGGCUCUGUCCCAGAGAGACAGGGCCAUCCCUCAUGUCUGUUAUUGGGUUGUAGAUAAACAAAAGUAUAAAUCAAACAAACUGCAAAUUA
Homo sapiens (human) is the source of this 2529-nucleotide long non-coding RNA. Ensembl annotates it as MRPL20 antisense RNA 1. Its record names the gene MRPL20-AS1. The record is from Ensembl. NCBI's taxonomy places the organism in Eukaryota, Metazoa, Chordata, Mammalia, Primates, Hominidae.